This 73-nucleotide transfer RNA is filed under the name Bullifex porci. RNAcentral describes it as "Spirochaetales bacterium NM-380-WT-3C1 tRNA-Pro". It matches the Rfam family "tRNA". Rfam says of the family: Transfer RNA (tRNA) molecules are approximately 80 nucleotides in length. Their secondary structure includes four short double-helical elements and three loops (D, anti-codon, and T loops). Further hydrogen bonds mediate the characteristic L-shaped molecular structure. tRNAs have two regions of fundamental functional importance: the anti-codon, which is responsible for specific mRNA codon recognition, and the 3' end, to which the tRNAs corresponding amino acid is attached (by aminoacyl-tRNA synthetases). tRNAs cope with the degeneracy of the genetic code in two manners: having more than one tRNA (with a specific anti-codon) for a particular amino acid; and 'wobble' base-pairing, i.e. permitting non-standard base-pairing at the 3rd anti-codon position. The record is from RNAcentral. Lineage: Bacteria; Pseudomonadati; Spirochaetota; Spirochaetia; Spirochaetales; Spirochaetaceae.
CGGGCAGUAGUUCAUCUGGUAGAAUGCAUGGUUCGGGACCAUGUGGUGGCUGGUUCGAGUCCAGUCUGCCCGA